AUGGCGACGACGAGCGAGUCCACCGCCAACUCUACCGUAACGAGCGCGACGGCCGACGGAGACACAGAGCGUGAGCAAGAGCACGGCAAUGGCGCGACUGCCGCCCCUGCCGUGGUGCAGCAGGAGGAGGAGGGGGAAGAGUUGAUCGGUCCGGGCCCCGCGCCGGCGCGGCAGCGGCAGAAGCGCCCGCUCCAGUUCGAGCAGGCUUUCCUCGACGCCCUCCCCUCCGCCGCCAUGUACGAGAAGAGUUAUAUGCACAGGGACGUUGUCACGCACGUCGCCGUUUCCCCUGCUGACUUCUUCAUUACCGGGAGCGCAGAUGGACAUCUGAAAUUCUGGAAGAAGAAGCCCAGUGGAAUCGAAUUUGCUAAACAUUUUCGGUCUCAUCUCAGUCCUAUCGAAGGCUUAGCUGUCAGUGUUGAUGGCUUACUUUGCUGCACGAUCUCUAACGAUCGGUCUGUCAAGAUAUAUGAUGUUGUAAACUAUGACAUGAUGUUCAUGAUGCGCCUCCCGUUUGUCCCUGGGGCAAUUGAGUGGGUCUAUCGGCAGGGUGAUGUUAAACCAAAACUUGCUGUUAGUGACCGGAAUACAUCUUCUGUUCACAUAUAUGACACUCAUUCUGGUUCAAAUGAUCCCAUCAUCUCCAAAGAGAUUCAUGCUGGCCCUGUAAAAGUUAUGAAAUAUAACCAUGCCCAGGAUGUUGUGAUAUCUGCUGAUGCCAAAGGACUCUUGGAGUAUUGGUCUCCAUCCACCCUUAAGUUUCCAGAGGAUGCGGUGAAUUUUCGUUUAAAAACAGAUACAAAUCUAUUUGAACUUGCAAAAGGCAAGACUAGUGUGUCUGCCAUUGAGGUGAGCAACGAUGGCACUCAAUUUGUGGUCACAUCCCCUGACCGCAGGAUAAGGGUAUUUUGGUUCAAAACUGGUAAAUUAAGACGCGUGUAUGAUGAGUCCCUUGAGGUGGCACAAGAUCUUCAGAAAAGUGACGUUCCGUUGUAUCAUCUUGAUGCUAUUGAUUUUGGGAGAAGAAUGGCUGUCGAGAAGGAAAUAGAAAAGACAGAAAAUGUUCCUCAACCUAAUGCUGUAUUCGAUGAGAGCUGUAACUUCCUUAUUUAUGCCACCCUUUUGGGCAUAAAGGUUGUAAAUUUGCACACAAAUAAGGUUCCCCGUAUCCUGGGGAAGGUAGAGAACAAUGAGAGGUUUCUGAGAAUUGCUCUAUACCAAGGUGACAAAGGCAACAAGAAGGUUAGGAAAAUUCCUUCAAUAGCUGCUAAUGUCAAUGACACGAAGGAGCCUUUAUCAGACCCUACUCUGUUAUGUUGCGCCUUCAAGAAACACCGGAUAUAUACCUUUAGUCGUAGAGAACCUGAAGAGCCUGAAGAUGCCACUAAGGGUAGGGAUGUUUUCAAUGAAAAACCCCCACCAGAAGAACUUUUGUCUGUAUCAGAAUUAGGGAAGACUGCUACGACAUCACUACCUGACAAUUUGGUGUUUCAUACUUCAAUGGGUGAUAUUCACUUGAGACUAUAUCCAGAAGAGUGUCCUAAAACUGUGGAAAAUUUCACUACUCACUGCCGAAAUGGUUAUUAUGAUAAUCUAAUAUUUCAUCGUGUAAUUAAAGGAUUCAUGGUCCAGACUGGGGAUCCUUUGGGGGAUGGUACUGGUGGGCAAUCAAUCUGGGGCAGGGAGUUUGAAGAUGAAUUUCACAAAAGCUUGAGACAUGACAGGCCAUUUACACUUUCAAUGGCUAACGCGGGACCAAAUACUAAUGGUUCUCAAUUCUUUAUCACCACUGUGGCAACUCCAUGGCUAGAUAACAAACAUACAGUGUUUGGUAGAGUUGUGAAAGGGAUGGAUGUUGUUCAGCAAAUUGAGAAGGUCAAGACGGACAAAAAUGACAAGCCGUAUCAGGAUGUGAAGAUCUUGAAUGUUACAGUUCCCAAGACAUAA
Molecule: ribosomal RNA, 1947 nt
Filed under: Triticum aestivum (bread wheat)
Lineage: Eukaryota; Viridiplantae; Streptophyta; Magnoliopsida; Poales; Poaceae
Description: partial small subunit ribosomal RNA
Source: RNAcentral